Vitis vinifera (wine grape) is the source of this 690-nucleotide long non-coding RNA. RefSeq lists it as uncharacterized. The record is from RefSeq and is a predicted model, not a curated record. The transcript is spliced from 2 exons. NCBI's taxonomy places the organism in Eukaryota, Viridiplantae, Streptophyta, Magnoliopsida, Vitales, Vitaceae.
UCAAUCUAAAUCCUAUUGGAUACAAUGAAUCUACAUGGAAUUUCCAAUAUCCAUUAAGAUUUUCUUAGAAGUACAAAAAUCAUAAAGUCAUUGUCAACCUGCAUUGACUUUACCAUAUCCAAAAAAUCCCACCUACAAAUAUUGCGUGCUAGAGGAGGUUUGUGCACCCCUCCCCUAUAAAUAUUGCUUGCUAGAGGAGGUUUGUGCACUUGUCCUACAAAGAUAUUUAAUUUUCAUGACUAAAGGAGAUGACUUUCAAUAUAGCUUUCUUGCUAGUUUUCUCCACUAUUGCUUCCGGUUUACUAUUUAAGGGAAUCCCAAAAGCCGAUGCAAGGGGGGAUUUCCGAUGUCCGAGGAUGAUCGAUUGUAGUAAAGUGUGUCAAGGAUUUCCUUAUAAAUGUGUGGAUGGCAAAUGCAUAUGUGGGGAAUCAAAGGAAACCCAAGUUUUCAACUCUGCCUCUCAACUUGAAGCAAGGGUUCAACCAGAGGAAUCAUGUGCCAGUACUAAGGACUGUAAUGUCAUUUGUCCUCACUCAACCAAAUGUGCUAAUGGCCAAUGUGUAUGCGAGAAAACAUGGAUUUCACCCCCUUGAUGGUGAUUUUGAAAACAUGAAGAAAUGUCCUUGAAAAGGAGUUUCUAGAGAAAGCUAUUUCUCUUAUAAUAAAAGAGUGGCAUUUGUAUUUUGGAUA